UACGUAGGGUGCGAGCGUUAAUCGGAAUUACUGGGCGUAAAGCGUGCGCAGGCGGUUUGUUAAGAUAGGCGUGAAAUCCCCGGGCUCAACCUGGGAACUGCGUUUAUGACUGGCAGGCUAGAGUAUGGCAGAGGGGGGUGGAAUUCCACGUGUAGCAGUGAAAUGCGUAGAGAUGUGGAGGAACACCGAUGGCGAAGGUAGUUUUUUGGGUUAAUAUUGACGCUCAUGCACGAAAGCGUGGGUAGCAAACAGG
RNAcentral lists this ribosomal RNA (253 nucleotides) under uncultured bacterium. RNAcentral's name for it is "partial 16S ribosomal RNA". It matches the Rfam family "Bacterial small subunit ribosomal RNA", at positions 524 to 776 of the family's 1533-position model. The record is from RNAcentral.